This 433-nucleotide ribosomal RNA is filed under the name uncultured Coriobacteriaceae bacterium. RNAcentral describes it as "bacterial SSU rRNA". It matches the Rfam family "Bacterial small subunit ribosomal RNA", at positions 341 to 792 of the family's 1533-position model. Lineage: Bacteria; Bacillati; Actinomycetota; Coriobacteriia; Coriobacteriales; Coriobacteriaceae. The record is from RNAcentral.
ACGGAAGGCAGCAGUGGGGAAUUUUGCGCAAUGGGGGGAACCCUGACGCAGCAACGCCGCGUGCGGGAUGGAGGCCUUCGGGUUGUAAACCGCUUUCAGCAGGGAAGAUGAUGACUGUACCUGCAGAAGAAGCUCCGGCUAACUACGUGCCAGCAGCCGCGGUAAUACGUAGGGAGCGAGCGUUAUCCGGAUUCAUUGGGCGUAAAGCGCGCGUAGGCGGAUGCCUAAGCGGAACCUCUAAUCCGAGGGCUCAACCCCCGGCCGGGUUCCGAACUGGGCGUCUCGAGUGCGGUAGGGGCAAGUGGAAUUCCAUGUGUAGCGGUGGAAUGCGCAGAUAUAUGGAAGAACACCGAUGGCGAAGGCAGCUUGCUGGGCCGUCACUGACGCUGAGGUGCGAAAGCGUGGGGAGCGAACAGGAUUAGAUACCCUGGUA